This 492-nucleotide ribosomal RNA is filed under the name uncultured bacterium. RNAcentral describes it as "partial 16S ribosomal RNA". It matches the Rfam family "Bacterial small subunit ribosomal RNA", at positions 30 to 507 of the family's 1533-position model. The record is from RNAcentral.
CGAACGCUGGCGGCGUGCUUAACACAUGCAAGUCGAACGGUGAAGCGCCUUCCUUUUUGGUGGGUGUGGAUGAGUGGCGAACGGGUGAGUAACACGUGAGUAACCUGCCCCCUUCUUCUGGAAAACCGCAUGAAAGUGUGGCUAAUACGGGAUAUUCUGGGUCUGUCGCAUGAUGGGUCUGGGAAAGAUAUUGUUUCGGUGGGGGAUGGGCUCGCGGCCUAUCAGCUUGUUGGUGGGGUGAUGGCCUACCAAGGCGGUGACGGGUAGCCGGCCUGAGAGGGUGGACGGUCACACUGGGACUGAGACACGGCCCAGACUCCUACGGGAGGCAGCAGUGGGGAAUAUUGCACAAUGGGCGCAAGCCUGAUGCAGCGACGCCGCGUGAGGGAUGGAGGCCUUCGGGUUGUGAACCUCUUUCGCCAGUGAAGCAGGCCUGCCUCGUUUGUGGGUGGGUUGACGGUAGCUGGAUAAGAAGCGCCGGCUAACUACGUG